This 65-nucleotide transfer RNA is filed under the name Eualetes tulipa. RNAcentral describes it as "tRNA-Lys". The record is from RNAcentral. Lineage: Eukaryota; Metazoa; Mollusca; Gastropoda; Littorinimorpha; Vermetidae.
UUUGUGGUGACCGAGGUUAAGGUGUUAAAUUUUUAAUUUAAAGACGGCAAUUGUGCCCUGCAACU